This 253-nucleotide ribosomal RNA is filed under the name uncultured bacterium. RNAcentral describes it as "partial 16S ribosomal RNA". It matches the Rfam family "Bacterial small subunit ribosomal RNA", at positions 524 to 776 of the family's 1533-position model. The record is from RNAcentral.
UACAGGGGGUGCAAACGUUGCUCGGAAUUAUUGGGCGUAAAGCGCGCGUAGGCGGCCACUUAAGUCGGAUGUGAAAGCCCCUGGCUCAACUGGGGAAGUGCACCCGAAACUGAGCGGCUUGAAUGCAAAAGAGGGUCGCGGAAUUCCCGGUGUAGAGGUGAAAUUCGUAGAUAUCGGGAGGAACACCAGUGGCGAAGGCGACUUCCUGGCCUGUUCUUGACGCUGAGGCGCGAAAGCUAGGGGAGCAAACGGG